Micropterus dolomieu (smallmouth bass) is the source of this 485-nucleotide long non-coding RNA. RefSeq lists it as uncharacterized. Lineage: Eukaryota; Metazoa; Chordata; Actinopteri; Centrarchiformes; Centrarchidae. The record is from RefSeq and is a predicted model, not a curated record. The transcript is spliced from 2 exons.
UACAUGCCUGCUUGUGUCUUGGUCACGUCCUCCUCGUCGUCUGACUUUGAGUGUUCCGCUUUGUUCUCUGUGUUAUGUGGAUUUACUCUUUGUUGGAUUUAUCUCUGUUCUGGAUUCUGCUUUGUUUGGACUUUUUGCCUCAAGCUUCCACAUAAGCCUGUUUAGUUUAUUUGAAUAAACUUUAUUUUGAACUGCAUCCUCCUCUCGCCUUGCCGUUGUCUGCAUUUGGGUCCACACUCCUCAGUUCCCUGCCGCUUCACUCAGCCAGGCCGUGACAGAAACACAGAUAAGCUCCGUGUCGUGGAGGUCCUGCAGAGGGUCGAUGAAGGUGCGUUUGACGUUGACAUCCAGAACGUCCCUGGCCUGAGCAACCUGCUGCAGAGCGUCACCCACAUCAGUCAGAGCGCCGGCUGAACCACCAGAGGACGAGAGGAGGAGGAGGAGGAUGAACAGAGAAAAAAUAAACAUCAACCCAUUUUCCUGUU